UGCACGCUGCCAAGCAACAGACGGGUUAUUUUAUUUUUAGCUAAAAAAAACAAAAAACAUUCAGGUCAAAACGCGUGUAUUCAGUUUGCGCAUACGCGCAACUUUUAACCAAAAGCAAACGAAAAUGGAUACGAAAAUAAAGGUGCCACACCUUCCGAAGCCCAGAGUGCUGCUGUGGGUAGAUGCAAGCUUCA
Molecule: long non-coding RNA, 194 nt
Organism: Lampris incognitus (smalleye Pacific opah)
Lineage: Eukaryota; Metazoa; Chordata; Actinopteri; Lampriformes; Lampridae
Exons: 3
Source: RefSeq, a predicted model, not a curated record